RNAcentral lists this ribosomal RNA (674 nucleotides) under uncultured Bacteroidota bacterium. RNAcentral describes it as "bacterial SSU rRNA". It matches the Rfam family "Bacterial small subunit ribosomal RNA", at positions 1 to 665 of the family's 1533-position model. The record is from RNAcentral. Lineage: Bacteria; Pseudomonadati; Bacteroidota.
GGUCCAGAUUUGAUCAUGGCUCAGGAUGAACGCUAGCUACAGGCUUAACACAUGCAAGUCGAGGGGAAACGAUAUUGGAAGCUUGCUUCCGAUAGGCGUCGACCGGCGCACGGGUGAGUAACGCGUAUCCAACCUGCCCAUCACUUGGGGAUAACCUUGCGAAAGUAAGACUAAUACCCAAUGACGUCUCUAGAAGACAUCUGAAAGAGAUUAAAGAUUUAUCGGUGAUGGAUGGGGAUGCGUCUGAUUAGCUUGUUGGCGGGGUAACGGCCCACCAAGGCAACGAUCAGUAGGGGUUCUGAGAGGAAGGUCCCCCACAUUGGAACUGAGACACGGUCCAAACUCCUACGGGAGGCAGCAGUGAGGAAUAUUGGUCAAUGGACGAGAGUCUGAACCAGCCAAGUAGCGUGCAGGAUGACGGCCCUAUGGGUUGUAAACUGCUUUUAUAAGGGAAUAAAGUGAGUCUCGUGAGACUUUUUGCAUGUACCUUAUGAAUAAGGACCGGCUAAUUCCGUGCCAGCAGCCGCGGUAAUACGGAAGGUCCGGGCGUUAUCCGGAUUUAUUGGGUUUAAAGGGAGCGUAGGCCGGAGAUUAAGCGUGUUGUGAAAUGUAGACGCUCAACGUCUGCACUGCAGCGCGAACUGGUUUCCUUGAGUACGCACAAAGUGGGCGGA